AGUGAACGCUGGCGGUAGGCCUAACACAUGCAAGUCGAACGGCAGCACAGUAAGAGCUUGCUCUUACGGGUGGCGAGUGGCGGACGGGUGAGGCAUACAUCGGAAUCUACUUUUUCGUGGGGGAUAACGUAGGGAAACUUACGCUAAUACCGCAUACGACCUACGGGUGAAAGCAGGGGAUCUUCGGACCUUGCGCGAUUGAAUGAGCCGAUGUCGGAUUAGCUAGUUGGCGGGGUAAAGGCCCACCAAGGCGACGAUCCGUAGCUGGUCUGAGAGGAUGAUCAGCCACACUGGAACUGAGACACGGUCCAGACUCCUACGGGAGGCAGCAGUAGGGAAUAUUGGACAAUGGGCGCAAGCCUGAUCCAGCCAUACCGCGUGGGUGAAGAAGGCCUUCGGGUUGUAAAGCCCUUUUGUUGGGAAAGAAAAGCAGCAGGUUAAUACCCCGCUGUUCUGACGGUACCCAAAGAAUAAGCACCGGCUAACUUCGUG
RNAcentral lists this ribosomal RNA (492 nucleotides) under uncultured bacterium. RNAcentral describes it as "partial 16S ribosomal RNA". It matches the Rfam family "Bacterial small subunit ribosomal RNA", at positions 29 to 507 of the family's 1533-position model. The record is from RNAcentral.